This 1885-nucleotide long non-coding RNA is filed under the name Daphnia magna. Its description in RNAcentral is "uncharacterized LOC116932382". The record is from RNAcentral. Lineage: Eukaryota; Metazoa; Arthropoda; Branchiopoda; Diplostraca; Daphniidae.
CCAAACACUAGAUGGCAGUACCGGGUAAAACCUUGUUUGCAUGUUAUAAGACCUCUUUGCUUAAAUUUCUCAUCUGUAUCGGAUACAUUCUAUUCCUUUCAUUCAUUCUAUAUCCUUUUCUAACGGGCGGAGCAGUUCUUCGUUUUUUUAGGAGAUGGGUAUUUACGCCCCUUUAGAUUCUGGUGACAUGGGGCAAAUGGAAAAAUUUUGUUAACAGGAACACCUCAACCUGUAUGAGAUUUAGCGCGAAAAAAAUGUUGCACUCGGUGACUAAAUGGGAUUGCCGCAUACAAGUAUCAGCGGACAGCUGUGUCAAAUCCAGACACGAUAGCGAUAGAUUAAAACUAAAAUAAUGAUUAGAUUCGAUGAUUUACACAUCUACUAAACGACCAAUGAGUAGUUAAUGUGGUUUACAUCGCUCGGUCCUUUUCUCACCAAUAAUGUUGUUGUCAAAUGUGACAAACGGAUGUGGGAAGACAACAAAAGAAAAAAUCAUGAAAAUGGUGACUGUAAGAAAAUAAGGAUGGCAGAAAAACAAUAAUAACAGUUAAGUAAGGUCUAAUCGAGAGUCAAUAGUAAGGUGUGGAGAGUCAAUUUCAUUCAAAAAACUUUGAACCAAAAGCUCAUUAGAAACCCAAAAUUUGUGAAAACUGUAGCUACUCGUAAAAAAGACUCAAGAUGGUGGUUAUAGUUACCGAGUACAGGAAACUGGACACUUAUUGCAGUGCUGAAGUCGCCAGACGGUCUCUAGGUAAUCGAAAUUAAUUACUUGCAAUUAGGAUAUGUAAAAAACAUCUGGACUUACCCUUUCCUUACCAUGCAAAAGCAAAAAGUUGAAGAGAUGCAUGCAAUGCAAUGCUUUGCCGCCUUGCACCUUUACAUCUCAAUUCUUUCAUUGUACUUGCCUUUGAAAGCCAAUGAAUCCCUUUUGCUGAUACUGUUUUUCCUUGCUUUGAUUAAUUUCCUGAUUCUGUUUUUUCAUAUGAUUGUUUUAAAUUAAAUUUAUGCAAACAGAAAAUUAUACUGGCAUAGUUUUAGUUUUUAAUGCAUGUCAACUUGUUUAGCAUUCGUUUCGAGCGGGUUUAUCCUGUGUGUGGGUGAUUUGUAGAAUACUUUUAAAAACUUUUGCCUUUUACCUUUUGUGUGCCUUGGUUUCCGUUGGAUGGUUUUAGCUUGGUUUUUUUUUUUUGGCCGUUGAAACCAAUUUCGUUCUUAGAACCCAUUGUUGCCUUUUGGUGCGGAAGCCAUAGGCAUAGGUCUUCAAAGCCUCCAAGCUUUGUUCCAGUUUUUGAACUUCUUUGUAGCAUUUUUGUUUUGUUUCAUUAUCUGUGUUUUUAUCUCGUAGUCAAUUCUGCUUCAAUUUCGUGCACGGCUGCCCUUUGCGCAGUGAGCUCUUUCCAGGAUAGCUACACGUAACGCCAUGUCGCAUUUCAUGACGGCGGCCAUGUAUUCGGUUUGCGGGUGUCCCUAAAAUGCGGAAGCGAAACGCGAAACAAACAGCGACUAAAACGCGAAACGCGGUGCGAAUCAAGAUGGUUUGUUUCGCGGUUUAGCCGCUGAAUGGUGUUUCAUUCCCAUGCUAAAGUGCGAAACAACGUUGCGAAACAGAAGGCUGCUGGAUGGCUGGCGAAAUCGCGAAAUGUUAAUAUUUCAAUAAAUAAAAAAAGAAAAUUUUAACAGGAAUCGCAGGCUUUUACAUUUCUGACAGAGCCAAACAGUCUCAUGAGUUUUUUCAGGCCAAAUUUAACAUGCUAUGGAACCAUUCAAGGCCCUCAGAGGUCAGAGCACUGGAGAACAUCCCAGUUAGCCCACGGCUUUACAUUUUUUGGUUUAUACUCAAUUUUAUUCAAUCAAUUAAUUUCAGUAACGCGUCUCUACCCAACGG